RNAcentral lists this ribosomal RNA (385 nucleotides) under uncultured bacterium. Its description in RNAcentral is "bacterial SSU rRNA". It matches the Rfam family "Bacterial small subunit ribosomal RNA", at positions 29 to 417 of the family's 1533-position model. The record is from RNAcentral.
AUUGAACGCUGGCGGCAUGCCUUACACAUGCAAGUCGAACGGUAACGCGGGGCAACCUGGCGACGAGUGGCGAACGGGUGAGUAAUGUAUCGGAACGUGCCCAGUAGUGGGGGAUAGCCCGGCGAAAGCCGGAUUAAUACCGCAUACGACCUACGGGUGAAAGGGGGGGAUCGCAAGACCUCUCGCUAUUGGAGCGGCCGAUAUCAGAUUAGCUAGUUGGUGGGGUAAAGGCCCACCAAGGCAACGAUCUGUAGCUGGUCUGAGAGGACGACCAGCCACACUGGGACUGAGACACGGCCCAGACUCCUACGGGAGGCAGCAGUGGGGAAUUUUGGACAAUGGGCGCAAGCCUGAUCCAGCCAUGCCGCGUGCGGGAAGAAGGCCU